RNAcentral lists this unclassified non-coding RNA (316 nucleotides) under plant metagenome. Its description in RNAcentral is "partial contains 5.8S ribosomal RNA, internal transcribed spacer 2, and large subunit ribosomal RNA". The stretch from base 1 to 105 matches the Rfam family "5.8S ribosomal RNA", at positions 50 to 154 of the family's 154-position model. The record is from RNAcentral.
GAAAUGCGAUAACUAGUGUGAAUUGCAGAAUUCCGUGAAUCAUCGAGUCUUUGAACGCACAUUGCGCCCCCUGGUAUUCCGGGGGGCAUGCCUGUCCGAGCGUCAUUGCUGCCCAUCAAGCACGGCUUGUGUGUUGGGUCGUCGUCCCCUCUCCGGGGGGCACGGGCCCCAAAGGCAGCGGCGGCACCGCGUCCGAUCCUCGAGCGUAUGGGGCUUUGUCACCCGCUCUGUAGGCCCGGCCGGCGCUUGCCGAACGCAAAUCAAUCUUUUUCCAGGUUGACCUCGGAUCAGGUAGGGAUACCCGCUGAACUUAAGC